RNAcentral lists this ribosomal RNA (423 nucleotides) under uncultured bacterium. Its description in RNAcentral is "bacterial SSU rRNA". It matches the Rfam family "Bacterial small subunit ribosomal RNA", at positions 355 to 796 of the family's 1533-position model. The record is from RNAcentral.
UGGGGAAUAUUGGACAAUGGGCGCAAGCCUGAUCCAGCAAUGCCGCGUGGGUGAAGAAGGUUUUCGGAUUGUAAAGCCCUUUUGGCAGGGACGAUGAUGACGGUACCUGCAGAAUAAGCCCCGGCUAACUUCGUGCCAGCAGCCGCGGUAAUACGAAGGGGGCUAGCGUUGCUCGGAAUGACUGGGCGUAAAGGGCGCGUAGGCGGCGAUCAAAGUCAGGCGUGAAAUUCCUGGGCUCAACCUGGGGGCUGCGCUUGAUACUUGGUUGCUUGAGUGGGGAAGAGGGUCGUGGAAUUCCCAGUGUAGAGGUGAAAUUCGUAGAUAUUGGGAAGAACACCGGUGGCGAAGGCGGCGACCUGGUCCUUGACUGACGCUGAGGCGCGAAAGCGUGGGGAGCAAACAGGAUUAGAUACCCCGUAGUCC